RNAcentral lists this ribosomal RNA (314 nucleotides) under uncultured eukaryote. RNAcentral's name for it is "partial 18S ribosomal RNA". It matches the Rfam family "Eukaryotic small subunit ribosomal RNA", at positions 1470 to 1796 of the family's 1831-position model. The record is from RNAcentral.
CCCUUAGAUGUUCUGGGCCGCACGCGUGCUACACUGAGUGGAUCAGCGGGUCAGGUUGCGCGAAAGCGUUUCCUAAUCUUUAAAUCCGCUCGUGAUGGGGAUUGACGGUUGCAAUUUUCUGUCAUGAACGAGGAAUACCUUGUAAGCGCGGGUCAUCAUCCCGCGCUGAAUACGUCUCUGCCCUUUGUACACACCGCCCGUCGCUACUACUGAUUGAACUGGUUUUUGAAGUGUAGAGAUUGGCAGGCAUGUUUACGUGCAUUGCAAAGAACCACUCUGAAAAAAUCGUUCGAGAAGAAGUAAAAGUCGUAACA